GAUGAACGCUGGCGGCGUGCCUAAUACAUGCAAGUCGAGCGAACGGACGAGAAGCUUGCUUCUCUGAUGUUAGCGGCGGACGGGUGUGUAACACGUGGAUAACCUACCUAUAAGACUGGGAUAUUUUCGGGAAACCGGAGCUUAUACCGGAUAAUCUUUUGAACCGCAUGGUUCAAUAGUGAAUGACGGUCUUGCUGUCACUUAUAGAUGGAUCCGCGCUGCAUUGGCUAGUUGGUAAGGUAACGGCUUACCAAGGCAACGAUGCAUAGCCGACCUGACAGGGGGAUCGGCCACACUGGAACGGAGACACGGUCCAGACGCCUACGGGAGGCAGCAGUAGGGAAUCUUCCGCAAUGGGCGAAAGCCUGACGGAGCAACGCCGCGUGAGUGAUGAAGGUCUUCGGAUCGUAAAACUCUGUUAUUAGGGAAGAACAUAUGUGUAAGUAACUGUGCACAGCGUGACGGUACCUAAUCAGAAAGCCACGGCUAACUACGUG
This 497-nucleotide ribosomal RNA is filed under the name uncultured bacterium. RNAcentral describes it as "partial 16S ribosomal RNA". It matches the Rfam family "Bacterial small subunit ribosomal RNA", at positions 28 to 507 of the family's 1533-position model. The record is from RNAcentral.